RNAcentral lists this long non-coding RNA (360 nucleotides) under Ananas comosus (pineapple). RNAcentral's name for it is "long non-coding RNA (ACOM_LNC014986)". The record is from RNAcentral. Lineage: Eukaryota; Viridiplantae; Streptophyta; Magnoliopsida; Poales; Bromeliaceae.
CCAUCCACUCUCCAACUUUCCAAAACCAUACUGAAAUAUAUGUGUAAAACCCAUAAACUUCCAUUUUCUCGAGAACCGUGCAUCAAAUCUAAAAUCCGCCAGUGCCGUUGGUUCCAGACUAGCCGAACCGUUCAAAACGAGCUAUUGGAUCGCUAUGAACGGAGUCCGAUACGCACCAGAAGCCAUCUCCACUGAUCGCCCUCUCCGGAAAAUCGGAAUUACUAUUCACUUUAAGUGAUCAGUAAUGAUCGCGUAGCUUCUCCAUUCUAACUUAUUUCUGCUGAAACUUGACGAGUGCUUUUGUAAUUAAAUUACACACAAAAACAUCGUCAACAAAAAGUUUAGCUAUAUUACAAAAUC